RNAcentral lists this ribosomal RNA (482 nucleotides) under uncultured bacterium. Its description in RNAcentral is "partial 16S ribosomal RNA". It matches the Rfam family "Bacterial small subunit ribosomal RNA", at positions 30 to 507 of the family's 1533-position model. The record is from RNAcentral.
AUUGAACGCUGGCGGCAUGCUUUAUACAUGCAGGUCGAACGGUAACAGGCCGCAAGGUGCUGACGAGUGGCGAACGGGUGAGUAAUGCAUCGGAACGUGCCCAGUCGGGGGGGAUAACUACUCGAAAGAGUAGCUAAUACCGCAUACGAUCUAUGGAUGAAAGCGGGGGACCGGAAGGCCUCGCGCGAUUGGAGCGGCCGGUGUCAGAUUAGGUAGUUGGUGGGGUAAAGGCUCACCAAGCCAACGAUCUGUAGCUGGUCUGAGAGGACGACCAGCCACACUGGGACUGAGACACGGCCCAGACUCCUACGGGAGGCAGCAGUGGGGAAUUUUGGACAAUGGGCGCAAGCCUGAUCCAGCAAUGCCGCGUGCAGGAAGAAGGCCUUCGGGUUGUAAACUGCUUUUGUACGGAACGAAACGGCUCUGGUUAAUACCCGGGGCUAAUGACGGUACCGUAAGAAUAAGCACCGGCUAACUACGUG